GAGUUCAUAGUACGUGAAACCGUUCAGGGGUAAACCUGAGAAACCCGAAAUUUCGAAAGGGGUGAUUCAGCGUGUCUCGCACGGAGGCGAGUUGGAGCGGUGUGACCGAUGCCCUUCGGGACUUUGGCUCUCGUUCUUUCCGACCUUCGUCGAACGCGUGCACUUCUCCCCUAGUAGGACGUCGCGACCCGUUGGGUGCAGGCCUAAGGGCGGGAUUGGAGACCGUGCGACACUUUCGGGUGUUCGUUCACGUACUUUUCUCGUUCCCGGUCUGCUCGCUCGACGGUAUGACUGUGGCGCUGGGCCGCGAAUUUGUUCGCGUCCGGCACGUCGCAAGUGCGGUCGGUUCAUGUGUCGAACGCUGUCGGACCUGGUGCCGGCUUCGAACCCGACCCGCUGUUGGCGACGUUGUUCUCGGACAGACCCAGUACGCCUGUCUGCGACGCUUUUGAUUUGGGUACUUUCAGGACCCGUCUUGAAACACGGACCAAGGAGUCUAGCAUGUGCGCGAGUCAUUGGGACUUUCGAAUCCUAAAGGCGUAAUGAAAGUGAAGGCCGCCUCGUGCGUGUCUAGGGUGGAUGCGCCGGUCCUUGUGCCGGUGCCGCACACCCGGGGCGUCUCGUGCUCAUUGCGAGCUGAGGCGCACCUAGAGCGUACAUGCUGGGACCCGAAA
This 674-nucleotide ribosomal RNA is filed under the name Atanygnathus terminalis. RNAcentral's name for it is "partial large subunit ribosomal RNA". It matches the Rfam family "Eukaryotic large subunit ribosomal RNA", at positions 385 to 821 of the family's 3401-position model. The record is from RNAcentral. Lineage: Eukaryota; Metazoa; Arthropoda; Insecta; Coleoptera; Staphylinidae.